Chinchilla lanigera (long-tailed chinchilla) is the source of this 334-nucleotide long non-coding RNA. RefSeq lists it as uncharacterized. The record is from RefSeq and is a predicted model, not a curated record. NCBI's taxonomy places the organism in Eukaryota, Metazoa, Chordata, Mammalia, Rodentia, Chinchillidae. The transcript has 3 exons.
CAGAUCUGUCUCCAGAACAUCUUUAUGUUGCUUCACACCCAAUGAGCUUGAUUGAGAACAGCAUUCCCACACAGAAAUGUUGGUACUUUUAAGUUUAUUCGAUGACUUUCAGAAGAAUCCAAUAAAAACUUCUGCAGAUAAAUUUGUGCCCUGGAACAGCAUUAACAGAAACAAAAAAGGAAGCAAAGCAAUUAGCAGAUCGUCCUGGAGACAAGAGGAAUAGGUAUAUUCGAGCUGCUUACCAUGCAACUAAAGGCUUCCUACAUGUAGAAAGAAAGGCUGAAAAUGAAGACGAAGAUUUAAGAGAAGAGAUACUUUGCACUUUGGGCACUUC